This is a long non-coding RNA of Ctenopharyngodon idella (grass carp), 1544 nucleotides long. RefSeq lists it as uncharacterized. The record is from RefSeq and is a predicted model, not a curated record. NCBI's taxonomy places the organism in Eukaryota, Metazoa, Chordata, Actinopteri, Cypriniformes, Xenocyprididae. The transcript has 3 exons.
UCUAAACUGAGACUGCGCGUGGCGUCAUUGAGACGAGACGCGGGAGCAAUGAAAGAGACACGCAUUGCUGAUCGCGGGAGAACGAACAAAGAUCAAUCUGAGGCAAAUAUCUCAAUAAUCCUUUCUGAUAUUCGAGUAAUAUCAUGUAUAAUAUGUUGCAGACCUAUUUAACUAUAUCGGGUUAUUUUUAGAACGUGAUUGUUGAUGUUGCCGCUGAUGAUUCCUAAUUGCGAACCCCUGUAAAAUCCAGUGCGGGUGUAAAAGCAUAUGAAACCCCCGGAUUUGGAGACCAUUGUGAGAGUGUUGAGAUUUUGUCUCAGGAGACAAGUGUGAGAAGCAGGAGACGCAAGCAAAAGUCUCCAUUUGAUGUUGAGUUUUUAAUUGACAGGAGGGUGAACGAGGGGACUCAAACCUGCAGAACCUGUGUGUCCUGAUCUAGUGCACUACCACUGUGUCACUGAUGAUGUUACACUGAUAAUGGAGGAGAAAUGCUGCUCUUUCACAUGGAGUUCAGCAUACAGACAGAAGGAGGCAGUAUUACAUCAAAACUGUCUGCAGACGUCAUCAAUCUGUUGAGUUUCUCUCUCAAAGAGCACAUCAUAAGAAAUACUGUCAGAAAAAGCAUCAAUCACUCACUAAUGAACAGUAAAACAGAGAAAACAGUGAUUUCACAGCAUGUGACAGUAGUAUCAGAAUGUUCGGCCUUCUGUGAUUCACUUACAAAGACACACUUGAUCAUCUGUUUGAUCAUGACAUGAGGAGGAUUCAAUAAAAUCAUCAGAAUGACUUCAGCACAGCAUUAAAGUCUCAGAAGUGACCACUGACACAUCAGAAGAUGACACACACACAUGAAAACAACUGAAGAAAGGAUGAUCCAUGAACGAAGCCCAUCAAAUGAACACAACACCACAGAUCACAGAGAUCCUCUACCAAACCUCUACUGCUGAAGGAGCCCAUGCCUCUUAACCUCAAACUAGGGCUUGUAAUGACAGAGCUGAUCAAUAAAGAAGACCCUCUUUUGUUCCACAAACUUUAAGAUCAAAUGGCUAAGUAACGCCUUUGUGACAUUAAUGCAUAAAUCCCCGGUCAUAUCAGGAGACGGUCUCAAGGCCCAAAUCAACACAGACCUAAACAGUGACCUCCUCCAGGACAUCUCCUAUCCAGCUGCACAAUCCAGAGACAUCUUCUCUUAAACCAGCAGAAACUUCAAUGAAUUCACUCAAGAUCUUAACAAACAACGUUCUCAAAAUUGCUGCCAAUAAGCUGCAUUAAUUUGCCUUAGAUAUAUCUUAUGUACCAUGUGUGUUUUAUAUAACCUCUGGAGAUCUUUCUCUGUGUUAAACAUUUACAGCUAAAUUCAUAUGGACUUCUACCUCAAUUAUGGGAAGUAUACAUUAUUAGAAAAUUACUCACUGCUGUUGACUAAAGAACUUUUGUAGCUUUAAUAAUGAUUAUCUAUAUUUAAUUUAGGCUAUAAAUUAUGCAGUGCAGACUGUUUGAUAACUUUAUUCAAUUUCUGUAUUUGUCCUAUCUGUUAGACGGUA